AUUGAACGCUGGCGGCAGGCCUAACACAUGCAAGUCGAACGAGUGGCGGACGGGUGAGUAAUGUCUGGGAAACUGCCUGAUGGAGGGGGAUAACUACUGGAAACGGUAGCUAAUACCGCAUACCAUCAGAUGUGCCCAGAUGGGAUUAGCUAUUUGGGGGGGAAACGCCUCACCAAGGCGACGAUCCCUAGCUGGUCUGAGAGGAUGACCAGCCACACUGGAACGGAGACACGGGCCGAAACCCUACGGGAGGCAGCAUUGGGGAAUAUUGCGCAAGGGGCGCAAGGCUGAGGCGGCCAUGCCGGGUGUAUGAAGAAGGCCUUCGGGUUGGAAAGUACUUUCAGCGGGGAGGCGUUACCCGCAGAAGAAGCACCGGCUAACUCCGUGCCAGCUGCCGCGGUAAUA
RNAcentral lists this ribosomal RNA (405 nucleotides) under uncultured bacterium. Its description in RNAcentral is "partial 16S ribosomal RNA". It matches the Rfam family "Bacterial small subunit ribosomal RNA", at positions 29 to 525 of the family's 1533-position model. The record is from RNAcentral.